ACCUCCACCUCCCACCAAAUCCCGAGUCUCCAACGUCCACUUCAUCCUCUUCUCCGGAUCACAUCUACAAAUGGAAUCCCCUAUUUCAACUUCCACGUCCUCGACCGAACCCAACGUCCUCCCAGUCUUCAUCUCAGCCGAGUCCCAAGCAUCCAGCUCCAUCAUCCGCCGAUUCCUUCCACGUCCAUGAACAAAGGCCAGAUCAUCUUCCUCCUAUAUCACCACACGUUGUUCUCGUUCCUUAUCCUCUUCUUCAAAAUAGAGCCAGCUCAUCCUUAUCCAUCCCAGCCGAUCCAAUCUUUCAUCGCCUACGGAUUCCCCCCAGCGUUCCAGAUUGAUUCUGGCAUCCAUAUUAACAGGAAUAUGAGAUUCUCACUUCCAGAUUUCUUCUCCCGAAUCGAGCCAAUCUUCCUUCAGUUCGCAGCUUCCAUCAUCCACAAGAUAAGCUCCAAUUUCAGCGUCCCACGAUCAUUCCAGCCGUCCUAAAUCUUCUCCGCGUCCUCUUCCCGUAUCUUCCCGAGCUUAUCCUCCCUUCCCAGCGUCCGGAUAGACUUCAUCUCCCUUUGAUUCAAGCGUCCAUCGUCCGCAUGAGCCAUCCAACCGUUUGCAAGCAACUGUAUCCUUCUCUGCUUCGGAACAGAGCUUCUACGCUCUAGCUCCUUCUGCAUCCGAGAUUUUCUCCGCGUUCUCCCAGCAGAUGCAGCUCAUCUCCUCUUCAUCACGGAUCAGAAUAACAACUUAUCACGGAUAAUCUCCCAGCAAUCAACCGUUCGCGAGGCAUCCACCUUAUCCCACUUCCGGUCAUCCUUAUCUUCCCACUCGGAAGAUCUUAAACAGAGGAGGAGAGGGGGGGGGAUGCAGGCUAUAAAAGGGAGUCGAACAUGAAGGCUAGAGGCAUCCAUUCUUCCUUCUUCCCUACCGGGGAAUGCUCCCAUUAUUCCUUCUUCCCCAUCAAUCUCUUCUCAGGAGGCGGAGUCCCACGGGAAACAGAGGAGGGAGAUAAGUUUGGGUCUUUUUGGGAAUGACUUCUCAAAAGAAAAAAAAAUGAAUUGCUAGAGAAGGAAGGAGAGAUCCAGGGAAGGGAGGAAGAAAAGAAAAAAAUGGGAGCCCGCUGCUGUGCCACUGCUGCUGUUGCCUUCGACUCCAUGGAAGGCUGAGCUCUGCACUAGGGACGGAUGCAGCCCUAAAAAAGGGACACGGGUUUUAUGUAUUUAAUUUUAUAUUCUUGGAGUUGUAUGAACUUAUUGUUUUUAAUGGAUAUCCUAUUUUAUCUCAUAUUUAAUUUCUGUGAUUUUAAA
This 1298-nucleotide long non-coding RNA is filed under the name Phoenix dactylifera (date palm). RNAcentral's name for it is "long non-coding RNA (PDAC_LNC015113)". Lineage: Eukaryota; Viridiplantae; Streptophyta; Magnoliopsida; Arecales; Arecaceae. The record is from RNAcentral.